This 226-nucleotide ribosomal RNA is filed under the name uncultured bacterium. RNAcentral describes it as "partial 16S ribosomal RNA". It matches the Rfam family "Bacterial small subunit ribosomal RNA", at positions 538 to 763 of the family's 1533-position model. The record is from RNAcentral.
GCGUUAAUCGGAAUUACUGGGCGUAAAGCGCACGUAGUCGGCUUGUCAAGUCGGGUGUGAAAUCCCCGGGCUCAACCUGGGAACUGCAUCCGAAACUGACUUGCUAGAGUAUGGGAGAGGGAGGCGGAAUUUCUGGUGUAGCAGUGAAAUGCGUAGAUAUCAGAAGGAACAUCAGUGGCGAAGGCGGCCUCCUGGACCAAUACUGACGAUCAGGUGCGAAAGCGUG